Molecule: long non-coding RNA, 412 nt
Filed under: Pan troglodytes (chimpanzee)
Lineage: Eukaryota; Metazoa; Chordata; Mammalia; Primates; Hominidae
Description: lincRNA
Source: RNAcentral
AACAGACACUUCCUGUACGGGGGAGGGGGCCAGGCGGCCGUUAGACAGCAUAACCGAACCCAACACCGGGGCCCAACGGCAGGGGCUUGGGCAGGAGCAAGGUCCGAGGGCUGCCAGGUCCACGCUGCUUUUAUGAGCUGUAACACUCACCGCGAAGAUCUGCAGCUUCACUCCUGAGCCCAGCGAGACCACGAGCCCACCGGGAGGAGCGGACAACUCCAGACGCACCACCUUAAGAGCUGUAACACUCACCGCGAAGGUCUGCAGCUUCACUCGUGAGCCCAGCAAGACCACGAGGACACCGGAAGGAAGAAACUCCGAACACAUCUGAACAUCAGAACGAACAGACUCCAGACGCACCACCUUAAGAGCUGUAACACUCACCGCGAGGUUCCGCGGCUUCAUUCUUGAA